Etheostoma spectabile (orangethroat darter) is the source of this 215-nucleotide long non-coding RNA. RefSeq lists it as uncharacterized. The record is from RefSeq and is a predicted model, not a curated record. The transcript has 3 exons. Lineage: Eukaryota; Metazoa; Chordata; Actinopteri; Perciformes; Percidae.
UUUUAGUUUCUUAGAGACGAUUUGGCAAAUUCUUCAUGUGUGCAACCCACAUACUCAGCUCUGCUGCUCAUCCCACAAAUGCAUGUUCCUUACAAAUGUGGCACCAUUUGAAAAGGAACUAAACAGGCUUUCCAACAGUAUAAGAUUCAUUGCCAAAAAGCAUUGUUACCACAGAGAAAUAAUCUACUCAACACAAAUGUCCUUACUUUUUGUAC